This 403-nucleotide ribosomal RNA is filed under the name uncultured bacterium. Its description in RNAcentral is "partial 16S ribosomal RNA". It matches the Rfam family "Bacterial small subunit ribosomal RNA", at positions 28 to 526 of the family's 1533-position model. The record is from RNAcentral.
GACGCACGCUGGCGGCGUGCCUAAUACAUGCAAGUCGAACGCAGUGGGGACGGGUGCGUAACACGUGGGUAACCUCCCAUCAGAGGGGAUAACCCUUGGAAACAGGUGCUAAACCGCUACUGAUUGAUGGACCCGCGGUGCAUUAGCUAGUUGGUGAGGUAACGGCUCACCAAGGCCACGAUGCAUAGCCGACCGGAGAGGAGGAGCGGCAACACUGGGAAUGAGACACGGCCCAGACUCCUACGGGAGGCAGCAGUAGGGAAUCUUCGGAAAUGGACGAAAGUCUGACCGAGCAACGCCGCGUGAGUGAAGAAGGUUUGCGGAUCGUAAAACUCUGUUGUUAGAGAAGCGGGAUCUAACCAGAAAGCCACGGCUAACUACGUGCCAGCCGCCGCGGUAAUAC